Molecule: non-coding RNA, 74 nt
Organism: Podarcis lilfordi (Lilford's wall lizard)
Lineage: Eukaryota; Metazoa; Chordata; Lepidosauria; Squamata; Lacertidae
Source: the annotation of a GenBank genome assembly
CGAUGGCUCAGUCAUUAGAGCAUGAUGUUCUUCAUCUCAAGGUCGUGGGUUCGAACCCCACGUUGGGUGAAAGA